Long non-coding RNA from Chroicocephalus ridibundus (black-headed gull), 6094 nucleotides. RefSeq lists it as uncharacterized. NCBI's taxonomy places the organism in Eukaryota, Metazoa, Chordata, Aves, Charadriiformes, Laridae. The record is from RefSeq and is a predicted model, not a curated record. The transcript is spliced from 3 exons.
GCGGCGGUCACGUGCCCCGGCGGGAGCGGCCGCCGCGCGCGGCGCCGGAAAGCGCCGGGUUAUUGCGGAUCCGCGGCUGAGGGGCCUGGCCGCCCGCGGGAGCCUCCAGCCGCCCCCGCGGGCCCAUAAAUCGGCUUUAUUUUUGCGGCGUUUCCGACGAGCCGUGUAACGCUCCGGCGAUGAAGCUCACCCGCCACCGCCGAGGUCGGCACCGCGCGCGGGGCGGCCGCGGGCCCGGGCGACGAGGCGGCGCUGCCCCCGCCCGGUGCGGCGCGAACCGACUGCAGCAGGAACGUCAAUCGGCUUCCUGCAGAACAAGAAGUUAGAGUCACAUUUUCUGCGGACGAUGGGAGUUUCCAGCGCACGUGGUGCUCGGGGCAGCUGCACUCACACAGGCGACGGAGAAAGGACCGCACUGCAGGGGAGAGCCGCCCGCCUCUGCCCAGUACCGCUCGCAUUUCUUCUGUUGGGAGAAGCAGGACACGUUUGGUUAUUCGCCACCCGCGCUGUCUCCUGUCUCACUUUGCCGGACAGACUCGUGCCGGGAGGAGGCCAGCUCUCGCUGCCGGCCGGCUCCAGCCUCCCCUGCCCCGGAGCCACCAUUGCUGGGUUCCCCCUUCCAGAGACGCUAGCUACACUACUGGAAACUGGCUUAAGAGUCUGUAGCUGGAGACUCAGGAAACAGCCCGUAUCAAACAGAAACUCGCUGUUGCUAAUGGGAUUUCAUAAAAAUCUGCAUCUCUCCAUCCUGCCCCGGCACUGUCACGGCAGGGGCCAUCUCUGACGUGACUCACCUUUCCCAUUUCAAACUCCAUACAAGCCAUGACCACAAUCUGCAAAAAGAAGGUUCAUUAGAAAAGUCCGAACACAGGUUUCUUAUCCAGGCAGCAAAAUCACUUGCGGGUCCUUAUCAGCAAUGAGGAAGUUCUGUGGGCUGCCUUCCCCAGAGCCCUGGGCUGCCAGGCAAAUCAAACCCAUGGCCACGGCACAGCAAACCGGGGACAUCACCCACGGCCCGGGCACAAGGACCUUUCCCGCCCAGAGCCCGAGUGCAGAGACAGCCACGAGCAGAAUCCUGUCUCAGCACGAGCGUGGAGGAGGCUCGCGGGAAGGAUGCAGGGCACACACAACAUCUGGAGUAAAACCCUGACACCCCUGCUGUCUGCUUAGUCAAAAAGGACUUCUGGCUGGCUGUAUGGAAAAUUUUUCUUUAAAAAAGAAAAAAAAAACAAAGCCCCAAAAAACCGAAAGAAAGUUAUAUAAAUCUGCACCUUACCAGGACUUCAUACUCCCAAAUCAUCCUCCAAAAGUCAAUGACAGUAGUGGGGAGAGGACCUUGGGUUGCAAUGUAUGCUCUUGGCCCAUAGACGCCCUAAAACAGCACAUGGAGACAUCUUCGCGUAGUUCAGUAGCGGAAAUAAAGUCAUCCCUCUUUCUCAAUCUUACUUCUAUUCAAUGAGCCGAUUAAGGAUUUAGAAGGGCUUUUAUAUAGUUAAAUUUUAGACACCUGUAUUAAAUUAAGCAACCAGAAACCAAUGGUGUGCAAGCCCCCCAAAGGCAGCCCCAAGCCAGGGAGCUGGGCUUGAGGUGGGACCUGCUCCCAGAGACCACCAGUUCCUGCGGUGCAUUUGGGAGCUUGGAGGUGGUGUUGCAGCAGCUGAUCCGGCUCUGCAGGGUGCGGCGUGCCACAGCUGGGGCUGUUGGCCAAAGAACGAACCGUGACCCCCUUGUGAAGGUCUGUUCUUCUGCAGACAGGUUACACGGAGCCCUCAGUCAUUAUGGUCGAGAAUGAAGGAAACCUGUCUGUCUAUCAGAGAAGGGUUGUGGGCACCAGAGAGUUCCAAAACACACGGAGCUCCUGAUGGAGAACCAGCCUGCGUUGGCCUACCCUGUUGCUCGCCGCUGCGGUGGCGCUCAGCUGUGCUGCAGUGCAGGGCUUCCUGCCUCUGCUCUGCUUUCAGCCACAGGACCUGCUCCUCCCACCACAACUCAACCAGGCAGCACUAACAGCGGAUACAAACACCUUUGCACAGCAAAACACCAUGAAAGACGCAAUACCUUGAUGAAGUUGGCAUUGAUGUAAUGAGAAUCUGCAUCUGAUGUGAUCAGGGACAACUCCACUCUGCUGUGGUCAACUGCAGGCACAAAAGCAGAAGCAGCAGCAGUUACUGUUAGUCUUUCAUGGUGGCUGAGCUCCUCAGACUGCAGCACAAGGUGCUUUGAAGGAGCACACACACUGAGAGCUCAUCCCAGAAGCAAUGAGUGGCUGCGCAAGCCUCCUCCCACGCUGCUGACAGCCCUGCACAGAAUUCAUAGAAUUGUCAGGGUUGGAAGGGACCUUAAAGACCAUCUAGUUCCAGCCCCCCUGCCCUGGGCAGGGACACCUCCCACUAGAUCAGGUUGCUCAGAGCCCCGUCCAGCCUGGCCUUAAAAACUUCCAGGGAUGGGGCUUCCACCACCUCUCUGGGCAACCCGCUCCAGUGUCUCCCCACCCUCAUGGUGAAGAGCUUCUUCCUAACGUCCAGUCUGAAUCGACUCAUCUCUAGUUUUAGUCCAUUCCCUCUAGUCCUACCAUUACCCGACAUCCUAAAAAGUCCCUCACGAGCUUUCUUGUAGCCCCCUUAAGAUACUGGUAGGCCACUAUAAGGUCUCCUUGGAGCCAUGUCCUACGCGCAGGCAGGGACCAGCAGGCUCCCUUUCGGGGUGGUGGUGCUGAGGGCUUGGGCAAGAGCUGCAGAUGCUGACGCUGCCCUGGUGCAACACCAAUCUCCUCUCACCAUGGAGCAAGCCAAGCCUAGAAUCACCCUGCACUCCACCUUACAGGCUCAAAUGAGGUCUGUGGGUUUAGAUUAUUAUUUUUUCAAGCUAGAAUGGAUGAAAGGGACAGUCUGCUCCCUUCCUAGGACAGACCCCUCUUUGCAGACUACUGCACCAAGCCAGGACAAGCCACAACAAUUUUUAACUGUAGUCUGCUUUGUACGUCAUGGAGACACCUUUGUCCAAAGCCAUUCUCUACCAGGCCUUGCAUGUGGUUGCGCUACCCAGAGCUUGCAAGGGCAACCACUAGAGAAUGUGCUUCCUACUGAAUAGAAGUUCUUCUGUCUGUAGAAAAUACAUGCCAAAGCCUUGCCAAAUACUUGCCAAACCAACAGAAUUCAAAGCCAACUGACAGCAGUGACAUGCUCACAGCCAAGCAGCUGUGCAGGCAGAUCCCGGAGGAAGAGAACAGACUCGAGCUGGCACAAAAAAAGGCUGAACAGGAACAUUUCCAACCUACAGGGUAAGAUGUCCUUGUAUCUGUUCUUCUUGAUGUUCUCUGGUUGCUCAGAUGCUGCUGUAGGGUAGACUUUAUCCGAUCUGUACUUUGUUGACUGCCUUUUCAGCUUCUGUGAUAAAAGAAUGGAACAAAUUACAGCAGAUGCACUACAUACAACACACUGCUAGAGAGUACGUGUGAAGGUCUCUGGGGGUCAGGUUCACUACCACAAAGCAAGGUCUGCACCAUUAAUUCUUUCCUCAGUGGCUUUUCUCCAGGUACUCAGAGCAAAAAUAGAGACAGAAGCCACCUGAGAGCCCCAGCGCGGGCUUCUGAGGAAUGGAAAGUGUGUGCUGAGGCAGGGCCCACACGCGGCUUCUGAAGUGAAAGGAUGCGUUUGUUCAGCAGAUGAAGCAUCACCCGCACAAAUAAGUGAGACACAGGGAGCCAUUCUCUGAGACACAAAUGGCACCCAGAUAAGAGGAGUAACAAUGUUGAGCCACCUUUGACAAAUGAUAUCAGAAAAGACAGAUGAAUCAAUUGAUUUUUCUCACUUUGGUAAAGACGCUCCCAUCUGUAGCUGCAAACAGCGAGGCUCAAGCAACUAAAGGAGCACAAGCGAUGGGAGCAAAGUAGCUGCAAGCACUGAUGAAAGAGAAAGGAGGAGUCGUCCUAGGGUUGGCCCUGAGGGUUUGAAUCUCCCAUCUCUUUCAUUUCCAGGAUAAAGCUGCAGCACUCCUGGAGAGUUCAAGCAUCUUUUUCCUGCCAAAGCACAGAAUUUUAUUUCACUGACAUCAGCUUUUAAAUAACGCACAAUGUUCAUUCCCAUCAACUCUGGAAGCCUCAUUCUCGCUGUAUUUUUUCUUUCAUAAUUUUUUGUCCACCUAACCACCAAGGGGUGCUUUGAUUCAAAACAAAAGGCCAUUUCUCUCAUCAGUGUCUCUAUGAUCUGACGCUCCGAAGGGCGAGCCUGCCUUUCACUGCCCUGGAGCCAUCCCUUCUCCUGGGCAUCGCUGCUGGGUCCAGGGAAUCGGGAUGACCCAGGAGAGCACUCAGGAUCGCGGGCCUUUAUGAAAGAAAGGCGUGUGGGGGGAAAAGCAAAGGGAAGGGACCACGGGCACGCCUGAGCUGGAAGGCGAGAGGGUUUCUCCUUGUGCGCACCUCACGGUGACCUACCCGAGUCCCUGGAAGUGGGAACGGUGGCUCAGCCGCUCUCGGCAUGGGGAGAAACGGUUUGGAAAUGCAAGCUAUCACCAUUGCCUGUUGAGGCUUCUGCACUUGCCAAAGUGGCCGACCACUCGGGCCAUCCUGGGAGGAUCUCCUCCCGGUACAAGAGGAAACACGGCCCUGACCACUUCUACCUGCCAUUUUGGUCAGAAAAUGAACUGUACGUUUGUCUGUGAGAACUGGCACAUGCACUGAGGCGCCGCAGCCCUCGCGUGGCCCAGCACAACUCCAGCACAGCAGCGAGGGGAGGAAAUUCAGCAGCCUGUGACAGCACUUUGUUCCAUGGAACAACAGACUGUCACUGCAGGCUGAGAUUAAUCACUUCCCCCCAGCCCAGACACCUGGAAACCAAGCACUAAGCUUUUCCCAAGUGUUUGAAGUGCCAGUCUCCACUGGUGUGGCAGAGCAGGGCUGGAUCUCGCGGGGACUCCUCUGUAAGCCCUGCACCUUCCCCAGAGCCCGCUGCCUGAUGCGGCCCCUCUCCGGAGGGGUAGCUCAGGGCCAGUGGCGAUUCUGCUGUUGGAGACACCUCGGACCUUACAGAGGUACCAGUUCUACCCUUCCCCAUGUCUGCUAUCACUGGGCAAUGCCUUUGCUUCUCAGAGCAGCCCAGACAGCCUGCCAGAGCAACCUUCCUCUAGCUGACAGACCAGCAGCCAUCACCAGCCACCAGCUUUAGCUGAGACCUGGGCUGCCGUCUGAGACCCACCCCUGCCACCCAAACCAGCAGAAAGAUGUCAGGAGCUCACAGAUCAGGGCACUGCACAGACCUCAACCAGCUGGGCACUGCAGAACGCAGGGGAAGGUGAGAGCCAUCAGCAUUUUUUGCAAGUUUUGCCUUUGGGGAAGAAGAAAAUGAUUUCCAGGAGGGGCCGGCAGCACCGCUGGGCAUAAGGCACAUGCACCCAUCGCGAAUGGACGCACAAGCCCUUCCGCGUAACAGCGCUGGAGGUUGGAGCAACGGCCCCUCCGGCUGCUCGGACGCCGUCUCCUCAGCCCUGGCCAAGGAGCCCAGAGUCGAUGGGGGAACAGUCUCGGGUCCACAGAGCGUGCGUCCGAACACCCACUCCUCAGGGGGUGCAGGGGGGUCUGUUGAAAUGGAAAAAGGAAAAGCUAUGUCAAAUAGCCACCGGAGAUCCCUGGCAGGGACAGGUGUAUCGCUGAUAGGACAGAUUGCAAUGGGGAGAAGGGGCGGUGGCUCCAUGUUCCUCACUGUACCCCCAGUUCUGUCACCAGGCGAAGUGAAACUGCGUCUUGACAAGUGCAUUCGCAAAGUAGAAAACAGGAAGCUCUCGGGUAAUUAUUUAAAAAGCAGACAGUUUUACUUUGGAAGCAAACUAUUAAAUUACUCUUCUACCUUUACCUGUCCUUUACCCCGGUUAACUCCUGUGUCUAUUUCUGCUGUAAAAUUAAUAGAAAAAUCUUAUUGUCACAUGCAGCUCACACCCCUGUUUGAGAAGUGACCGAGCAGUUCCCUUUAAAACCAGCUGAAACACAGAGACGUGCCUUAAGCGAACUUACCAAAAACUCGUCUGCAAACUCUUCUCGGUUGAGCUUCUUGCCUUGGGCCCUUUCCAGGUUUUGCAGCAGAAUCUGCCUCUGGUCCAUGUU